Molecule: non-coding RNA, 569 nt
Organism: Peromyscus maniculatus bairdii (prairie deer mouse)
Lineage: Eukaryota; Metazoa; Chordata; Mammalia; Rodentia; Cricetidae
Source: RefSeq, a predicted model, not a curated record
UUGAGAUGAAUCCUCCCAAAAGAUACACUAAAUCUCUAGCCCAAGGCAUCCUGAUUACUACCUUCUGUAGAAUGGGCUGUCUUCAUAUUAAUUAGGUAAGGUCAUAGAGGCAUAGGGCCAGGCCUUAUUCCGUAUGGCUGGCAUCUUAAAAUAAAAUAUGGAAAGAGUCGUAUGGGUAGAACUUCAUGAGAAGACAAAGAUGUAGAGUUUUGUUUCCACAGACCAAAGGACACUUGGAGUCAUUGGAUGCUGAAAGAGGCCAGCAACAACCUGAUUUCAGCCUUCUACGCUCCAUAACUGACCAAAGCCCCCAGCCCUUCAGAAAGUACAGAAUAAUGUUUAAUUACUCAUGACAUACUGCUGAGCUCUUCUCUAGGAAUUGCCUUGAGCUGAGGGAGCGAUCUAACCCGUGGUUACUCUGCCAGGAAUAAUCAGCAUCUUUUGGCUUGCCAAUGCAGUCCUCAUAGGUCUGCUAUCCCACCCUUGUGACACCUCUCCCAAAAGAAGUCAAAGAAGAAGAGGUGGAGGAAAAGGAGAAGGGAAAAGAAGAGGAAGAAGGAGGAGGAGGA